RNAcentral lists this ribosomal RNA (423 nucleotides) under Verrucomicrobiota bacterium. RNAcentral describes it as "Verrucomicrobia bacterium partial 16S ribosomal RNA". It matches the Rfam family "Bacterial small subunit ribosomal RNA", at positions 355 to 776 of the family's 1533-position model. The record is from RNAcentral. Lineage: Bacteria; Pseudomonadati; Verrucomicrobiota.
UGAGGAAUAUUGGUCAAUGGACGCAAGUCUGAACCAGCCAAGUAGCGUGCAGGAUGACGGCCCUAUGGGUUGUAAACUGCUUUUAUAUGGGGAUAAAGUGGGGAACGUGUUCCCUUUUGCAGGUACCAUAUGGAUAAGGACCGGCUAAUUCCGUGCCAGCAGCCGCGGUAAUACGUAAGGUCCGAGCGUUGUCCGGAAUUAUUGGGCGUAAAGGGUACGUAGGCGGUCUAUUAAGUCAGGUGUGAAAGCGUGAGGCUUAACCUCAUUAAGCACUUGAAAGUGAUAGACUUGAGUGAAGGAGAAGAAAGUGGAAUUCCUAGUGUAGCGGUGAAAUGCGUAGAUAUUAGUAGGAAUACCGGUGGCGAAGGAGACUUUCUGGACUUUUACUGACGCUCAGGUACGAAAGCGUGGGGAGCAAACAGG